GAAAGAUGAAAAGAACUUUGAAAAGAGAGUUAAACAGUACGUGAAAUUGUUGAAAGGGAAACGAUUGAAGCCAGUCGUACCUUCGGGUAAUCAGCCUUUCGGGUGCGAUUCUGUGGGGUUUGAGGAGCUUUAACACCUUCAUGCUUUGCAUAUUCGUGCUCUUGGGUGUACUUGCCCGUAUGGUUGGUUAACAUCAAUUUCGGGCACCAUAAAAUGGCUGGAGGAAUGUAGCUUCGAUCUUGUAUUGAAGUGUUAUA
Molecule: ribosomal RNA, 257 nt
Filed under: uncultured Rhizophagus
Lineage: Eukaryota; Fungi; Glomeromycota; Glomeromycetes; Glomerales; Glomeraceae
Description: partial large subunit ribosomal RNA
Rfam family: Eukaryotic large subunit ribosomal RNA
Source: RNAcentral